RNAcentral lists this long non-coding RNA (702 nucleotides) under Ananas comosus (pineapple). RNAcentral describes it as "long non-coding RNA (ACOM_LNC034301)". The record is from RNAcentral. Lineage: Eukaryota; Viridiplantae; Streptophyta; Magnoliopsida; Poales; Bromeliaceae.
GUUUAUAAUAUUUAAAUAAUUUUUUAUAUUUUUUAUUAAAAAUAUUUAGAUUUUUAGCAUUCAAUUUAAGUUGGGUGCGUGGUUAUAAAAAGUGUUAGUAAAAAAUAAAAUUAUUAUAGAUUUUUAGUUGUUAGGAAUACUAAAUUAUCAUGAAUUAAUUUAGAGCAUGUUUAGUUAGCCCCUUUUUCGUCCUAAAAUCGGAAUCAGAAUCGGAAUGGACGAAUCCGUUUGUUCGUAUUUGGUAAGCGAGAUUUUCAUUGCGAGUCCGAUUCCCGAGUGAAUGGGAAUCCCUAGCCCCAAUUACCUCUUUUUCCAAUCUAACAUGAAUACGAACAGAAUGAAUUUGUUCGAAUUAAAUUUAACUAUUUUAAGUUCAUUUUUAAAUUAAAACAUAAGUUUAAGUUUAAUAAAAAUAUAGUAGUUCUUAUUUCUAUACUUAAUAAAAAUUUCUAAUAGUCUAUUAAUAAGAAUAUAGUAAUUCUUAACAACCUUCCAACCAACCAACUUGCCAUUUCAAAUAUAAAUUAUAUAAUAUUCUCAAAAUAUUAUGAACCUUGAACAAAACGGCCCCUUUUAGUUCUUAAACUGUAGUGUGUAUGACAUUUUGCUUCUUGAAUUUUAAUUCAAAGAUUCUAAAGUAUUGCUAAUGUGGAAGUGAUGUAGCAGUGCUGUGACUGAUGACAUGAUAAUAAUUAAGAUACU